GACGAACGCUGGCGGCGUGCUUAACACAUGCAAGUCGAACGGAAAGGCCCUGCUUUUGUGGGGUGCUCGAGUGGCGAACGGGUGAGUAACACGUGAGUAACCUGCCCUUGACUUUGGGAUAACUUCAGGAAACUGGGGCUAAUACCGGAUAGGAGCUCCUGCUGCUUGGUGGGGGUUGGAAAGUUUCGGCGGUUGGGGAUGGACUCGCGGCUUAUCAGCUUGUUGGUGGGGUAGUGGCUUACCAAGGCUUUGACGGGUAGCCGGCCUGAGAGGGUGACCGGCCACAUUGGGACUGAGAUACGGCCCAGACUCCUACGGGAGGCAGCAGUGGGGAAUAUUGCACAAUGGGCGGAAGCCUGAUGCAGCAACGCCGCGUGCGGGAUGACGGCCUUCGGGUUGUAAACCGCUUUCGCCUGUGACGAAGCGUGAGUGACGGUAAUGGGUAAAGAAGCACCGGCUAACUACGU
Molecule: ribosomal RNA, 467 nt
Filed under: uncultured bacterium
Lineage: Bacteria
Description: partial 16S ribosomal RNA
Rfam family: Bacterial small subunit ribosomal RNA
Source: RNAcentral